AUUGAACGCUGGCGGCAGGCCUAACACAUGCAAGUCGAGCGGAUGAAGGGAGCUUGCUCCUGGAUUCAGCGGCGGACGGGUGAGUAAUGCCUAGGAAUCUGCCUGGUAGUGGGGGAUAACGUCCGGAAACGGGCGCUAAUACCGCAUACGUCCUGAGGGAGAAAGUGGGGGAUCUUCGGACCUCACGCUAUCAGAUGAGCCUAGGUCGGAUUAGCUAGUUGGUGGGGUAAAGGCCUACCAAGGCGACGAUCCGUAACUGGUCUGAGAGGAUGAUCAGUCACACUGGAACUGAGACACGGUCCAGAAUCCUACGGGAGGCAGCAGUGGGGAAUAUUGGACAAUGGGCGAAAGCCUGAUCCAGCCAUGCCGCGUGGGUGAAGAAGGUCUUCGGAUUGUAAAGCACUUUAAGUUGGGAGGAAGGGCAGUAAGUUAAUACCUUGCUGUUUUGACGUUACCAACAGAAUAAGCACCGGCUAACUUCGU
This 483-nucleotide ribosomal RNA is filed under the name uncultured bacterium. Its description in RNAcentral is "partial 16S ribosomal RNA". It matches the Rfam family "Bacterial small subunit ribosomal RNA", at positions 30 to 506 of the family's 1533-position model. The record is from RNAcentral.